UGGGGAAUCUUGCGCAAUGGGGGAAACCCUGACGCAGCGACGCCGCGUGGAGGAAGACGGUCUUCGGAUUGUAAACUCCUGUUAAGUGGGAAGAAAGGCUAAAGAUUAAUACUCUUUAGAGAUGACGGUACCACUAGAGAAAGCACCGGCAAACUUCGUGCCAGCAGCCGCGGUAAAUACGAGGGGUGCAAACGUUAUUCGGAAUCACUGGGCGUAAAGAGCGUGUAGGCGGUUUGUUAAGUUAGCUGUUAAAGGCCUCAGCUUACCUGAGGAAAUGCAGUUAAUACUGGCUUUCUAGAGGGCAAGAGAGAGAAGUGGAAUUCUUGGAGUAGCGGUAAAAUGCGUAGAUC
RNAcentral lists this ribosomal RNA (350 nucleotides) under uncultured bacterium. Its description in RNAcentral is "bacterial SSU rRNA". It matches the Rfam family "Bacterial small subunit ribosomal RNA", at positions 355 to 696 of the family's 1533-position model. The record is from RNAcentral.